GAUGAAGAACGUAGCGAAAUGCGAUAAGUAAUGCGAAUUGCAGAAUUCCGUGAGUCAUCGAAUCUUUGAACGCACAUUGCGCCCUCUGGUAUUCCGGAGGGCAUGCCUGUCUGAGCGUCAUUGUCAACCCUCAAGCUCAGCUUGCUGUUGGGUCCCCGUCGUUGCUUUAACGGCGGACCCGAAAGGUAAUGGCAGAGUCCGUGAGACCCUAGACGCAGCGAGCUUCUAGCACGCGUCUGGACGUUUUUCGGGCUCGGUCUUAACUAGAUGAUAACUUCCGAUUGACCUCAGAUCAGGUAGGGAUACCCGCUGAGUUUAAGCAUAUCAAUAAGCGGAGGA
RNAcentral lists this unclassified non-coding RNA (339 nucleotides) under soil metagenome. RNAcentral's name for it is "partial contains 5.8S ribosomal RNA, internal transcribed spacer 2, and large subunit ribosomal RNA". The stretch from base 1 to 120 matches the Rfam family "5.8S ribosomal RNA", at positions 35 to 154 of the family's 154-position model. The record is from RNAcentral.